RNAcentral lists this ribosomal RNA (377 nucleotides) under uncultured eukaryote. RNAcentral describes it as "SSU rRNA". It matches the Rfam family "Eukaryotic small subunit ribosomal RNA", at positions 587 to 972 of the family's 1831-position model. The record is from RNAcentral.
AGCUCCAAUAGCGUAUAUUUAAGUUGUUGCAGUUAAAAAGCUCGUAGUUGGAUUUCGGGUGGGCACCGCCGGUCUCCCUUUGGGUUGUACUGGCGUGGCGCACCUUGCUGUCGGGGACCGGUCGCUGCCUUAACUGAUGGCGGCCGGAAAUCGGCGACGUUACUUUGAGUAAAUUAGAGUGUUCAAAGCAAGCCUACGCUCUGAAUAUGAUAGCAUGGGAUAACACGACAGGACUCUGGCCUAUCGUGUUGGUCUGUAGGACCAGAGUAAUGAUUAAGAGGGACAGUCGGGGGCAUUCGUAUUCCGUUGUCAGAGGUGAAAUUCUUGGAUUUACGGAAGACGAACAUCUGCGAAAGCAUUUGCCAAGGAUGUUUUCA